AUUAUUUAACGUGGUAUGUGAUAUAUAAAUUAAUUUAUUUUUUAAGAAUAUAACAGAGUUAAAUUUAUUGGCAUAUAUUUUGCACUGUGACACAAGAGAAUAAAUAUUAUUUUAUACAGGGUAGAAGUCUUUUCAUUUUUGGCAUGUAUAAUUUUAUCAAGAUAAAAUAAUAUAUUUGAUAUUUAUUAAUAAAAAAAAUAUUACAAGGUUAUUUUUAUUUUCCACGUGGAUUUGGUGAUUUAUACAUAUGGAAACAAAUAGGGAAGCAGUUCUACUUUUUAAGAGAAUGGACGGAUCAGAUUUCUUCUUGAAAUCAAAAUUUGUCGCAAAGAAAGAAGACGAAGUAUUUUCAAUCUUUCUUGUUUCUUUAUUCUCAAUUGAGAAAAACUGCCGUGGACAUAGACCUGAGCAAUAUAGUUAACUGUGCAGUAUUAAGAUCGACGAUCGAGAAAACCAACCUCGAACUGAAUCAUAACCAGAAACCCGUCUCUGUUUAAGCAUCGAUCAAUGUCCCUCUUAAACCAACUCUUCAACAGAGGCCUUUUUGGUUCUAAAUGCAAAAAUGCUUGAAUUUGGCAAUCUCGCGCAUUAAAUUGCUGCAAAAUAAGAGAGAUUUGCAGCUUAAAAUAUGCGCAAGGAGAUUGCGCAAUUUCUUCAGGCUGGACAAGAAGCAAUGGCUCGAAUUCGAGUGGAACAUGUAACGAGGAAAAAGAAUAUAUGGGCUGCAUAUGAGAUAUUGGAGCUGUUCUUCUAAUUUUUACUUGCGCGUGUUCCCAUUCUUGAAAGUCAGUCGGUGGAUCAAAGCAGAUUGUGGCUGAAGCCACACUUCCUCAAGCUCCUACCAAACAGAGCUCUCCUCUAUCACCACUUUCCAAUGGGGUCCAUCGUACCAUAAAUAUGGAUAGCAAACAAGGAUCUCAUCAUCUUCAAGCUUCUGGCACUGUGAGCAAUAUGCCCCAGGUCACACUUCUAACAAAAUUGAACCAUCAAUCAAGAAUCAUAAUGCCGGACCAUUGACUGAUGGUAACAGGGAGACAACACCACAAGCAUCUGAUGUUUUGGGGAGAGCUCGAGCUGCCAUUGCAUAAGCAGAGCGUGCAGCUUUUGCUGCCAGCGCAGCUGGCGAGCUUGUAAAUGUUAAAUUUGGCUCAUUUAGGUUAGGUGAAGGCAAGUCAUAGUUAUUCCAUAAUCGACCUUUGAUUAUAAAAUUAUAUCUCAAGAUCACAUAAUCAAGCAUGCCAAAAAAGAAACCAAAAGAAAAUGUACAUUAUUUCACUAUGUAAAAACACAAUCUUACAAAAACUGGAAACUACCAAGAGUUUCAUAUUGGUAAUAUUUUUAUACCAUUAUGAUCUUUGCUGAAAUACCAAGAAACCCCACGAUUGUAUCAAUUUCUUUUAAGAUAUCAAUUCAUUUGUUUUCUGCACAUAAUGUUUA
This is a long non-coding RNA of Populus trichocarpa (black cottonwood), 1437 nucleotides long. RefSeq lists it as uncharacterized. The transcript has 4 exons. The record is from RefSeq and is a predicted model, not a curated record. NCBI's taxonomy places the organism in Eukaryota, Viridiplantae, Streptophyta, Magnoliopsida, Malpighiales, Salicaceae.